GGCGCUGUGGCUUAGUGGUUAACGCGCCUGUCUCGUAAACAGGAAAUUCUGGGUUCAAAUCCCAGCAGUGCCU
Molecule: non-coding RNA, 73 nt
Organism: Sander lucioperca (pikeperch)
Lineage: Eukaryota; Metazoa; Chordata; Actinopteri; Perciformes; Percidae
Source: the annotation of a RefSeq genome assembly